CCUACGGGGGGCAGCAGUGGGGAAUAUUGGACAAUGGGCGAAAGCCUGAUCCAGCCAUGCCGCGUGUGUGAAGAAGGCCUUCGGGUUGUAAAGCACUUUCAGUGGGGAAGAAAGCCUUGGGGCUAAUACCCUCGAGGAAGGACAUCACCCACAGAAGAAGCACCGGCUAACUCCGUGCCAGCAGCCGCGGUAAUACGGAGGGUGCGGGCGUUAAUCGGAAUUACUGGGCGUAAAGCGCGCGUAGGCGGUCUGAUAAGCCGGUUGGGAAAGCCCCGGGCUCAACCUGGGAACGGCAUCCGGAACUGUCAGGCUAGAGUGCAGGAGAGGAAGGUAGAAUUCCCGGUGUAGCGGUGAAAUGCGUAGAGAUCGGGAGGAAUACCAGUGGCGAAGGCGGCCUUCUGGACUGACACUGACGCUGAGGUGCGAAAGCGUGGGUAGCAAACAGGAUUAGAUACCCUAGUAGUC
Molecule: ribosomal RNA, 465 nt
Filed under: Vreelandella stevensii
Lineage: Bacteria; Pseudomonadati; Pseudomonadota; Gammaproteobacteria; Oceanospirillales; Halomonadaceae
Description: partial 16S ribosomal RNA
Rfam family: Bacterial small subunit ribosomal RNA
Source: RNAcentral